CGUGGGGACCAAGCGUUGUUCGGAUUUACUGGGCGUAAAGGGCGCGUAGGCGGCAAUUCAAGUCAGUUGUGAAAUCUCCGAGCUUAACUCGGAACGGUCAACUGAUACUGCUUUGCUAGAGUACAGAAGGGGCAAUCGGAAUUCUUGGUGUAGCGGUGAAAUGCGUAGAUAUCAAGAGGAACACCUGAGGUGAAGACGGGUUGCUGGGCUGAUACUGACGCUGAGGCGCGAAAGCUAGGGUAGCAAACGGGAUUAGAUACCCCGGUAGUCCUAGCCCUAAACGAUGAAUACUUGGUGUCUGGAGUUUAAUUCUCCGGGUGCCGUCGCUAACGUUUUUAGUAUUCCGCCUGGGGAGUACGCACGCAAGUGUG
This 371-nucleotide ribosomal RNA is filed under the name uncultured organism. Its description in RNAcentral is "bacterial SSU rRNA". It matches the Rfam family "Bacterial small subunit ribosomal RNA", at positions 526 to 896 of the family's 1533-position model. The record is from RNAcentral.